UACAAUGCAACAUGCAUGAUCUCCCCAUAGC
RNAcentral lists this non-coding RNA (31 nucleotides) under Mus musculus (house mouse). Lineage: Eukaryota; Metazoa; Chordata; Mammalia; Rodentia; Muridae. The record is from RNAcentral.